GGAGGGUGCAAGCGUUAAUCGGAAUUACUGGGCGUAAAGCGCGCGUAGGUGGUUUGUUAAGUGGAAUGUGAAAGCCCUGGGCUCAACCUAGGAAUUGCAUCCCAAACUGGCAGACUAGAGUACAAGAGAGGGGUGUGGAAUUUCCUGUGUAGCGGUGAAAUGCGUAGAUAUAGGAAGGAACAUCAGUGGCGAAGGCGACGCCUGGCUUGAUACUGACACUGAGGUGCGAAACGGUGGGGAGCAAACAGGAUUAGAUACCCCUGGUAGUCCACGCCGUAAACGAUGUCUACUAGCCCGUUGGGGACUUGAUCCCUUAGUGCGAACGUAACGCGAUAAGUAGACCCGCCUGGGAGUACGGUCGCAAGAUUAAAACUCAAAUGAAUUGACGGGGCCCGCACAAGGCUGAGCAUGUGGUUAAUUCGACGCAACCGAAAACCCUUACCCUGGCUUGACAUCCUGUACUCUAGAGAUAGAUGGUCCUCCGGACACAGUGACAGGU
RNAcentral lists this ribosomal RNA (499 nucleotides) under uncultured marine bacterium. RNAcentral's name for it is "bacterial SSU rRNA". It matches the Rfam family "Bacterial small subunit ribosomal RNA", at positions 527 to 1039 of the family's 1533-position model. The record is from RNAcentral.